UACGUAGGGUGCAAGCGUUGUCCGGAAUUAUUGGGCGUAAAGAGCUCGUAGGCGGUUUGUCGCGUCUGCUGUGAAAUCCGGAGGCUCAACCUCCGGCCUGCAGUGGGUACGGGCAGACUAGAGUGCGGUAGGGGAGAUUGGAAUUCCUGGUGUAGCGGUGGAAUGCGCAGAUAUCAGGAGGAACACCGAUGGCGGAGGCAGAUCUCUGGGCCGUAACUGACGCUGAGGAGCGAAAGCAUGGGGAGCGAACAGG
Molecule: ribosomal RNA, 253 nt
Filed under: uncultured bacterium
Lineage: Bacteria
Description: partial 16S ribosomal RNA
Rfam family: Bacterial small subunit ribosomal RNA
Source: RNAcentral